UACGUAGGGUGCUAGCGUUAUCCGGAUUUACUGGGCGUAAAGGGUGCGUAGGUGGCACUGUAAGUCAGAUGUGAAAUCUCCCGGCUCAACCGGGAGCGUGCAUCUGAUACUGCAGUACUUGAGUGAUAGAGGGGAAAGCGGAAUUCCUAGUGUAGCGGUAAAAUGCGUAGAUAUUAGGAGGAAUACCAGUGGCGAAGGCGGCUUUCUGGACUGUAACUGACACUGAGGCACGAAAGCGUGGGUAGCAAACAGG
RNAcentral lists this ribosomal RNA (253 nucleotides) under uncultured bacterium. RNAcentral's name for it is "partial 16S ribosomal RNA". It matches the Rfam family "Bacterial small subunit ribosomal RNA", at positions 524 to 776 of the family's 1533-position model. The record is from RNAcentral.